CACACACACAUAUGAAUAUACAUAUAUAUUCUAUAUGCAUAUAUUUCCGUUGCGAUAUACUGAUAAAACAAAGCAGGAUGAUUAUGUCAAUGAAACCAAUAAAAAAACAUACAAAAAAAAAUAUAUAUAUAUAUAUAUAUACACGUUAAAACACAAUAAAUUAUAUGAGAAAUAAAAAAGAUUAUGUAAUAUUAAGAAGUUGUAGGCUAAACGCUAAGAGUAUAUAAUAAUACGUGAGUGUACAACAAGUAUGAUUUAUAGAGAACGAGAGAGAAGUGGCGAGUGCGAAUAACGACAAUAUAAUAUAAUGACUAAAGCAAGCAAAAGAAAAAGAUGUAAUACGUGGCAGGCUGCCACAUCAAGCUUGUUGUUUUUGAGUCAUUGCGUAAAAAUAUGGAAUUGAUGCGUAUUUUACGUUCGUACGUGACAAUAUAAUAUUAUGUACUUUAUUAUGAUUACUAACAUUUGUCCGCGCCCCUGUACUAACAGCUUAUUUGACCUUUUUUUUCAAUCGGUAGAAAUUAUUAUCUGAUUAGUUUAAAUAUCAAGAUAUUUGGCAUGAAAUUUGCCAAAAUCACCCUUCAACAUCAGUGAUGCAAUUUUUAUUUGAUUGUAUAGCUUACUACCAUCAAGAGUAAAUUUAUUUGUACUCAACUAUUUACAAUGUAUUAUAUGUUGGCAAGAAAAGGUGAAAAAUUGAAAGAUAAAGAGGAAGUGAAAAAAGUGAACACGACGCCAAAACCAAAGAUACGGAUAAAAAUCAAUAGUGUGUAAAACAAGUUAAAUCAUAAAUUAUAUUAUAUUAAUUAUAAAAAAAAAAAAAUUCGUAGGCGAAUGCACGAGAUCGUUGCAUAUUAUGACUGUGUACAAAUGCGAGCAAUAUACGUAGCGACCUUUUCCAAUGAUUUGCAUUACGAGACGACGCGCACUUUGAAUCGAAAGUGUGCGAUGAAAAAUGAACUAUAUAAAAUACUGUAAUUGGGCAUUUCACUCAAUCUCCUGUCGUCUGUUAUUAUAGGUAUACAACUAAUUAUUCCUCAUUGAAAAUUUGAAGACAAAAUAGCAAUGUUAGUAAUCUCAUCAUAUAAUUGAAGAAUGAACAAUGGAAUUUAUUGAAAUAUUCAAAGGAUUAAUGCGAUCUUAAUGUUACAGUUGGAUAUCAUUGUAAUAGGCGUUGUUUAUCAAGCGCACUGUAACGGGGCUUCCAUAUCAUGAGAUUGAACAAAUAUAUAUAACGAAAUUUUAAAUAUGCUGUACAUACUUGAUUUUUUUAAACCAAUGUCAAGCUCCGCAUGUUAUACGAGUUUUACGAUGUUUUAUUUAUUUUUUUUCAAAUAUGCACUCGAUUAUAACACUUAUACAAAGCGAUCGACGUAUUGGUUUUCUUUUAUUUAGCAAAGCGAUCGUAUACACUUACCAGCAUAUAGCUAUAUCCCAGUCCAAUAAUAUACUUCACCCGUGUACGUGACGAAUUUGUAAACCACAGCUGCGGACCGUUACAAGUUUCGGUCACGAUCUAUUUCCCCCUUUCGUAGAAUAAAAGGCAAAUUUGGUUCGUUUCAAAGCCAUUUGAUUCAGCGAUAUAGACGAUGAAAGGUCCACAUCCGAUUUUGUUCGUUCUUUGUAUGUUGUUAUUAAUCAUAUUAGUUGCCGGCGAGGGAGAUGAAUCUUCAGAGGAAAAUAAUUUUCACGAAGAUAUUCCUCGUGUAAAAAUCAAAGUAUUCCGCGGUGAAUUUAAAGAAGAAAAUGGCGUAACUUAUGCACCUUGGGGAUUCUGGAUAAAACAACCGAGUCAAAAAUAAAUGUUGAUUUGAUAAUAUUUAAAUGUACAUUUGAAUACAUAUAUACUAAAAUAUCUUUUUAUAAACCUUCUAAUUUUUUACUUUGAAACAAAAUCUGAUACUAUUUUAAAAUGAAUAUUUUCAAGAUUUAGUAUUUCAAUUUUUGCAUGAAUGUCUGAUUACAGUAUAUAGGAAAGGACAUUAUAUGCUAUGAUUCAAUAAAUAUGCAAGAUUUCUUUUACAUAUUUUGAGAUUUUAUUACAUUAUUAUUUUUGAUCUCAUUGACACAUAAAAUCAUAUGUCUUCUUAUUUUUUGUUGCCACCUCCGAAUUCGGGAUUGUUAGGAUUAAGCUGGUUGCUACGGUUGUCGCGGUUCGAUUGCGCCCCUUGGUAUUCCGCUUUAUGACCCGGGCCCGUAGAUUGAUGGUUCGGGUUGCACUGAUUUGUGCGGUUGG
Nasonia vitripennis (jewel wasp) is the source of this 2236-nucleotide long non-coding RNA. RefSeq lists it as uncharacterized. The transcript has 2 exons. Lineage: Eukaryota; Metazoa; Arthropoda; Insecta; Hymenoptera; Pteromalidae. The record is from RefSeq and is a predicted model, not a curated record.